This 1060-nucleotide ribosomal RNA is filed under the name Cellulosimicrobium sp. BE380. RNAcentral's name for it is "bacterial SSU rRNA". It matches the Rfam family "Bacterial small subunit ribosomal RNA", at positions 299 to 1369 of the family's 1533-position model. Lineage: Bacteria; Bacillati; Actinomycetota; Actinomycetes; Micrococcales; Promicromonosporaceae. The record is from RNAcentral.
GGCGACCGGCCACACUGGGACUGAGACACGGCCCAGACUCCUACGGGAGGCAGCAGUGGGGAAUAUUGCACAAUGGGCGAAAGCCUGAUGCAGCGACGCCGCGUGAGGGAUGAAGGCCUUCGGGUUGUAAACCUCUUUCAGCAGGGAAGAAGCGCAAGUGACGGUACCUGCAGAAGAAGCGCCGGCUAACUACGUGCCAGCAGCCGCGGUAAUACGUAGGGCGCAAGCGUUGUCCGGAAUUAUUGGGCGUAAAGAGCUCGUAGGCGGUUUGUCGCGUCUGGUGUGAAAACUCGAGGCUCAACCUCGAGCUUGCAUCGGGUACGGGCAGACUAGAGUGCGGUAGGGGAGACUGGAAUUCCUGGUGUAGCGGUGGAAUGCGCAGAUAUCAGGAGGAACACCGAUGGCGAAGGCAGGUCUCUGGGCCGCAACUGACGCUGAGGAGCGAAAGCAUGGGGAGCGAACAGGAUUAGAUACCCUGGUAGUCCAUGCCGUAAACGUUGGGCACUAGGUGUGGGGCUCAUUCCACGAGUUCCGUGCCGCAGCAAACGCAUUAAGUGCCCCGCCUGGGGAGUACGGCCGCAAGGCUAAAACUCAAAGGAAUUGACGGGGGCCCGCACAAGCGGCGGAGCAUGCGGAUUAAUUCGAUGCAACGCGAAGAACCUUACCAAGGCUUGACAUGCACGAGAAGCCACCAGAGAUGGUGGUCUCUUUGGACACUCGUGCACAGGUGGUGCAUGGUUGUCGUCAGCUCGUGUCGUGAGAUGUUGGGUUAAGUCCCGCAACGAGCGCAACCCUCGUCCCAUGUUGCCAGCGGGUUAUGCCGGGGACUCAUGGGAGACUGCCGGGGUCAACUCGGAGGAAGGUGGGGAUGACGUCAAAUCAUCAUGCCCCUUAUGUCUUGGGCUUCACGCAUGCUACAAUGGCCGGUACAAAGGGCUGCGAUACCGUAAGGUGGAGCGAAUCCCAAAAAGCCGGUCUCAGUUCGGAUUGGGGUCUGCAACUCGACCCCAUGAAGUCGGAGUCGCUAGUAAUCGCAGAUCAGCAACGCUGCGGUGAAUAC